GAAAUGCGAUAUGUAAUGUGAAUUGCAGAAUUCCGUGAAUCAUCUAAUCUUUGAACGCACAUUGCACUCUCUUUCGGGAGAGUAUGCCUGUUUGAGAAUCUAUAGUAUUCUUUUUUCAAAGUAUAAGUAAAAUUAUGCUUUGAAAAGAUUUGAGGUUUCCUUAAUCUUUAGUAUUAUGGUACCUUUAAAUAGAUUGCUUUUGACUUGUUAAUUGAUGUUUGAAGUCUUUAACAUUCGUUAUGAACAGUAUUCGAAUAGACCUUUUGGUUUUAACUUGUGCUUAGUAAUAUGAUAAAAGACUUAGUCGAUUAUAGAUAGUAAAAAGUUCAUAACCAUUAUAAAAACUAAAGUUUACUUUGUUUUUGAACCAUGGUCUCAAAUCAGGUAGGAAGACCCGCUG
This 400-nucleotide unclassified non-coding RNA is filed under the name uncultured fungus. RNAcentral's name for it is "sequence contains ITS1". The stretch from base 1 to 101 matches the Rfam family "5.8S ribosomal RNA", at positions 50 to 154 of the family's 154-position model. The record is from RNAcentral. Lineage: Eukaryota; Fungi.